Molecule: ribosomal RNA, 305 nt
Filed under: uncultured bacterium
Lineage: Bacteria
Description: bacterial SSU rRNA
Rfam family: Bacterial small subunit ribosomal RNA
Source: RNAcentral
AGGCCUACGGGGCGCAGCAGUGGGGAAUAUUGCACAAUGGGGGGAACCCUGAUGCAGCGACGCCGCGUGGGUGAAGAAGUCAUUCGUGACGUAAAGCCCUAUCAGCAGGGAAGAAAAUGACGGUACCUGACUAAGAAGCCCCGGCUAACUACGUGCCAGCAGCCGCGGUAAUACAUAGGGAGCAAGCGUUAUCCGGAUUUAUUGGGUGUAAAGGGUGCGUAGACGGGAAAUUAAGUUAGUUGUGAAAUCCCUCGGCUUAACUGAGGAACUGCAACUAAAACUGAUUUUCUUGAGUACUGGAGAGG